Molecule: long non-coding RNA, 1471 nt
Organism: Manihot esculenta (cassava)
Lineage: Eukaryota; Viridiplantae; Streptophyta; Magnoliopsida; Malpighiales; Euphorbiaceae
Exons: 4
Source: RefSeq, a predicted model, not a curated record
CCAAUUUAACGAUAUCUCAUCUGAAAUCCCUAAAUCGUGUUAACCCAAUUCAACGAUAUCCCAUCUGAAAUCCCUAAAUCGUGUUCUUACACAUUUGAAAAAUCUCAAUUUGGCUGAAAUCCAAUUUUGUGUCCAACUACUGUAGCUUUCACCACCAUCACCAUCCACCGUCCGCCACCACCACCGUUGACAGGUGCACCAUUCCCGCCAUCACUGUCGACAAGUGAGCCCUUCUCUCUAGUCUUGUCAUUCUCGCCAGUCCACUGCAUCUUGAGUUUCUCUCCCAUCGCUGUCCACAGGUAGCUAGAACUUUAUACAUGUUUGCUCUUCUCCUCCUGCAUCUUUGUAGCACUGUUCGAAGACAGUACCAAAUGACACGAAGGAGUUUUAUUGGCAAGAAUUCAAGAAAUACUUCCUAUGCGACCAAGCAAUUGAUAGCUUGGUUAAAAUUGCAUGGUAGAAAAAGGCUACUGAGAGAUACAGGGGCCUUAUAUGUGAAAUCAGAAAAGGGAAGACAAAGAAUUUAGCUACACCAGAUUUUGUUUUGAGGAAGUGGCAUAAAACUUGGAACACUUUUGAAUAUAAAGAGAAGUGUGACAAAUUUUCUGUCAAUAGGCAUAGUGAGGCUGAAGGAGCAGGAUCUGGCAUUUUCAGACAUGCUUGUAGAUCAGUUUCACAAUAUACCCACCAGUAGAGGAUGAUAUUAAUAAUCACUUUAAUAUUUAUUUUGUUAUAUAUAUUUUAUUGCGAUACUACUUGUUAUCCUUCUUAUACUUGAUAACAGAGAGAAAGACUAGGAAGAGAACCACAUUCUCAUGAGCUUUUCGAGACCACACAUAAGAGAAAGGGGACAGAGGAGUUUGUUGAUGUUAGGUCAAAAGCUAUUUAUGUAAGUUGAUAAUAAAUGUAGUUAUAAACAAUUUUGAUGUACUUAAAUCAUAUUAGUAAUAAGUUAUUAAAAUUUUAUAAUGCAGAACAAAUACAUACAACUAAAGGAGGCAGCAACACAGCAACAGGAGGGAAGUAAUGAGCCGACACCUAUAAAUGAGGCCCAACUUUACUACGAGGUAGUUGGCGGGCAGAAAAAGAGUCGAGUUUAUGGAUUAAGGUCCCAGGCUUCUACAUAUUUUCAUGAAUCAUCACAUUGUUCCACUUCAUACUCGUCUGCAUCCCGAGUGAAUUCUCCUACCAUUGAAGAAAUGAACAGGAUGUAGAAUAAAAUUAAUCGGCUAGAGAUAGAGAAUGGUCGACUUAACACAGUGGUGGAGGAGUUGCAGGCAGUUAUAUAUAGGAUGAUAGCACAACAGGGUGUUAGGACAUCUACUCAAACAUUUGCUCCUCCGGCACCUCCAGCUCCGUCUCCACAGCAGCAGCAUGAUUAUGCCCCUGUCAGUAGUGAUCAUCAUACAGACAAUGAUGAUGAUACAGAUGAUGAGCUUGCUAGUUUAGUUUAGUAUGUAUCUUUUGUUCG